AUGAUGCAUUUUAUUUAAUACCACAAGGUGGCAUUACAUCCUUAUUUUUUUGGUGAACUUUUUCACAGUUACCUCAACAAAUCCUUUUUCUCUUGGACUAUAAAUUGAAAAACUACGUGACCAACGUGUUCGCGAUCCAGGAUGCUCUCGUCGUGUGGAUCAUUCUGGAAAUACUCCCACUGAGAGCUGGUUAAACAUCCCGAUGAAGAUUAUAGGAAUUCCAUCUAAAUCUGGUGGGGGACGUGACUCUGCAACCUACUGGUUCUCUGCAGCCGUUUAGGUGAAUUGUGGAUGUUGUGCCGAACUCUGCUUUGGUUGAAGUGCAUGCAGGAGGUCAUUAACCCUGGAAAGAAGGAACGGUCCGGGUAUCACGAUGGAGCUGCCUGCAGAGCCUUUCUGUGACUGUCGUACAAGUGACAGUGCAAGGCGGGGCUGCCAGAGGAAGCCGGAAUACCUAGCGUCAAGCUGCACGAACACGGAUGCAACAUCUACACUCAAAGCGGGAUCGAAAUUCAGGCCACCACCCACGGAGGUGUGAGGGUGAAUCUUUAAAUAAUUUUGUGUUUUUCUUAUAAGCUUCCUUGUGGUUUUUCAUAAGCAGGAGAA
Long non-coding RNA from Paramormyrops kingsleyae, 606 nucleotides. RefSeq lists it as uncharacterized. The record is from RefSeq and is a predicted model, not a curated record. Lineage: Eukaryota; Metazoa; Chordata; Actinopteri; Osteoglossiformes; Mormyridae.